Long non-coding RNA from Sarcophilus harrisii (Tasmanian devil), 506 nucleotides. RefSeq lists it as uncharacterized. The transcript is spliced from 3 exons. The record is from RefSeq and is a predicted model, not a curated record. NCBI's taxonomy places the organism in Eukaryota, Metazoa, Chordata, Mammalia, Dasyuromorphia, Dasyuridae.
AGUACAGAAAGUGUUAACUCAGCAGAGAGCCGCACUGGGAAGCUACAGGGACCCUCGUGGUUCUAGAGCCCCCACGCGGAAACAUCUCACUUCUUGGCACAGAGGUGAUGGACUCAUGAUGAGAUGGGGAGAACUUGUGGACAAGGGGCUGCCUGCUGCCAGUUACACAUUCUCUCUGUCCUCUAACUCCUGGAAGCAAAGUCCACGCCAAGAGCUUGUGUGCCCUAAACCAGCACUGGACCCGUGCCCUUACUGGGCAUCUCCUGCUUGUACAAAAUUCACUUCCCUGAGGCCCUCGGUGUUAACAAUCUGCUGCCUCUAAAAGGGAGGUUAGGUCUCACAAGAGAAUAUUCCUCCGCUGGAGUAAGGAUGGAGUCCGCCUGGGCAAAUACACCUCAACCACUGGCUCAGUGCUGCUGCAAGCACCAAGUACUCCCACCAAUGGCAAUGAAAAAGGUGUCAGGUAGACUGCACACCCAAGGCUGGAGCUACCGGGGGUUCCUCUC